CGGGCCGCCCAGGCGGCUGCGGGUGAGGGAAGGCCUUGCUCCAGCCAGGGCGAGCGGCGGGCGGAGGGCGGGCGCUCCUGAGCCUUUCCUCGCCGCCGCUGCGGGUUCUGUCGUAGGGGCUGAGUCGCGGCUCCGAAAUAGAACUAAGGAGAUAAAGAUUAGCUCGGGCAUGCUUAAAGAGCCCAGCGUUCCCUGUGAUACACUGCGUGGUCCGUUGCAUUGUUUGCAGCGGUAACGAGCAGGAGCUGCGAUUAGAGCAUCUGUGGGCUGGAGCAUCAGCCGCCCGCCUGGGCUGUGCUCCCGGCGGGACUGAAGAGCGGCCGGGCACAGGCAGGGCUGUCCCCAGCACGGAGCUCCAAGCCGUGAGGAGGCGGGUCGUCCUGCUGGCGGGGAGCCCGGCCCCUUCCCUCGGGGAUGAGACCCGCGCCAGGCGGCCUCUGUGCAGGCAAGGGUCACCUUCCGUGGCAUGGGAAGAAAAUCCUGAACAGCUGAUUCUGCUUGCUGCUCAGGCUCAAGAAAAUGGAGGUAGUUGUCUGUGUCUGUCACCUGCAUGUUCCUGGGAAAGUGGCUCCCGUGGAACUAAAGCUGCCAGUGAGUCAAAAAAAGGCAGGGCUGUCCAAAAAACGCAAAGGCUCUACUGGCCUUUAUCAACAGCUGUACCAAAGAUGGUGCCAAACAGUUUUUCCUCCACUCUAUAGGGUUUUUUUUCUCUCUUGGCAGAAUGUCGAACUGCCACUCUUCCUCUGCGGUUGCCCUUUAUUCUGUCACUUCAGCACAGGACAGAUGGAAAGGAUCUGGAGUGCUCUGCAAGCUUUGCCAUGAAGCAUCAGCAGCCUCGUAACUAGUGACGACGAGUCCUGAUGUGGCUUUUAUGGAGUGCUCUGAAGUACUUCAUUUCCAUCUGGCCUUCAGCGGUGCGUUUCCCUGGCAGCCCAGUAGCAUCUCUCUUGGGCAGUACAGCUGGCCAGAUGUCCCUCCUUGUUGUGUAGCUGUGGGUCCAUCAGCGUUGAUUCUGUUUUUCUAUUUUGCUGAACUAUAAUUGGGGAUUUUUGUUUUCCAGGUGUCUUGUUGUAUAUGUGUCGUGCUGCUCAAUAGAUGCCCCAGUUCAGGCUGGCAGCUGGUGGUGGAGCCGUCUGAGGGGAAGGGGCCAGCCCUGGGGGUCUGGUCCUUUUGUUCAUUUUUUGGGGUGAAUAAAAAAAAAAGUGUGUGUCUGGGUGGGUGAUGAUUGAUGAUGUCAUUUGGGGCACCUCAAAGUCACUGGGAGAGCGAUGAUGUGGCACAGAAGCAGGUGAGUGGGGGAUGUCGGGGUUACGUGGGGUUCCCCCCCAAAAGAGGGAGGUCACAGCCCCGAAAUAUCUGAAAAUUUGGGGUUGGGGGUGGUGGUUAAAAAAUGUUAAAACCUGUAAAUGUGGGUGUGAGGCACUGAAAUGGAGAACAAUCUCUUGUUUUCAUAUAUAUUGAAAAAUAAUAUGCGUUUAUGUGUGUAAAGGAGUUCAAAAUAAAAAUUUAUAUCACAGAA
Calidris pugnax (ruff) is the source of this 1519-nucleotide long non-coding RNA. RefSeq lists it as uncharacterized. Lineage: Eukaryota; Metazoa; Chordata; Aves; Charadriiformes; Scolopacidae. The transcript has 6 exons. The record is from RefSeq and is a predicted model, not a curated record.